Molecule: long non-coding RNA, 425 nt
Filed under: Elaeis guineensis (African oil palm)
Lineage: Eukaryota; Viridiplantae; Streptophyta; Magnoliopsida; Arecales; Arecaceae
Description: long non-coding RNA (EGUI_LNC031357)
Source: RNAcentral
AGCAUGGUGAGAGGUUAAUCGCCAAUCCCCCACUCUUGGUCAAGGAAAUAACCUUAGCCCUAUCAAUUAAGGCAGAGGAAACUCUCCUUCCUUCCACCCCAUCAUUGGUGAAACCAAUAAGGUCCCCUUGCAGCCUCCACCGCUGGUCCGACUCCUUACUCAACAUUACCUCACCCGCCAUGAGGGGAUCAACAAACCCCCCUUGUAAGUCUGGAUCUUCUGCCCUCCUAUCAGGAAUAGUCACCUACACCACACCCCUUCUCUUCAACUUCAGUGGCCCCAAGGAGGAGAAGACAAAGAUGCCCGAUGCUAAUCAUGCCCAUUUGGAUCACGUUAGGCCCAGGCUAGGCCAAGAAGUAGUGCUCAAUUCAAUCGGACUAUUCUUUUCUUCCAUAAAUCAUAAGUUGGCUGAACUGAUUCACCCC